GCUGGGGAUAGGACGUAAGGCUUCAUGCAUGCUAGGUUACUUUAGCAAGAAGGUGUCAGAACACACUCUUCAAGAGCUGUUGUCUCACAGAUCAGGCCACACUCUCCUGCAGGUUCUUUCCCUUCCAGCUGCUGCUAUGAAGAGCUGACAGAACAUCUACCGCUCUUACAAAGAGUCACAUCCUCUCUCCACCUGCCACCCAGAAAUGGAAGACAACCUGCCUGAAGGACGUAGCGCAGACCACGUGUUAACCAAGCUGCUUAAUGGUGGAGGAACUCCUUCCUCUUUUGGAAGCCUUUACAAAAUUACCACCACUAGUACAAUCACUACAGAACUACCAGGAGAUGCUUUUGAAAGACCCGACUGACAGCAGGAAGGCCAUUUUAGAAAAAGAACUGUAAUCAGCCAUUCGAUAAGCCAAGAUUCUAACCCAGGUCUUGUGAAACUAGCAGUGGAAGAUAGGGCGUUUGC
Nannospalax galili (Upper Galilee mountains blind mole rat) is the source of this 471-nucleotide long non-coding RNA. RefSeq lists it as uncharacterized. Lineage: Eukaryota; Metazoa; Chordata; Mammalia; Rodentia; Spalacidae. The record is from RefSeq and is a predicted model, not a curated record. The transcript has 3 exons.